Non-coding RNA from Pelodiscus sinensis (Chinese soft-shelled turtle), 764 nucleotides. The record is from RefSeq and is a predicted model, not a curated record. NCBI's taxonomy places the organism in Eukaryota, Metazoa, Chordata, Testudines, Trionychidae.
GGGGAAGUGACACCACCGGGUGGUGCCUCCUUCCACGCUUGGGAAAUAGCCCUCUCUGUCUUGGGAUCGGUGCUGCUCACGCUCGCACUGGUCCUUGCAGCCAUCUGUUACUUCAAAAGACACUCCCUGAAUUACACCACCAUUGAAAUGAAUGACCGCAGCCAGAUGGCAGCAGACUUCUAACUCUUCCAGGAAAAACUUCAUUGGCCAGAUCCGUUAUCCUAGGAGUGGGUGGGCGUGCAUCUCAUGGUGAAGUGGUGCACAAGCUCUGUUCUGCACCAGGACUGUUGCACAGACCCACUCUCCCGUCAGAAUGUCCCUUUAAAUUUAAAGUGCCUUGGUUAUUUUUAAAACAGACUCGUCUGCAGCAGAGUAAAAGAUUUAAGAAAUGGGCUCUGAGGAUUUCUUCUUGCCAGACAGAGAGCUUGGAAGGCCUGGAGCUGUGGCAGGAUGGCUGUGCCCGCUAUGAAUGGGGUGAAAUGGGAUCUUCUGCCUCUGCCCAGGGAAGAACUCAGAACCAGACAGCUGGGGCUCCCUGACCGUCUGCAGAUGUGCCGGGCUCCUCAGCCAGCUACAGCUCAAACACUCUCAGAGGCUUCAACAAGGGCCGGGAGCUACCGUAUUUCAUACUCAUCUGCUGCGCUCACACAACCCUGUCAGAAUUCUCACCCCGCGAUGCACCCGCCCGGCUCUGUGCAACAGUCCCACUCCACCUCCUGUGAUGUACCCCUCGGCCCCGCCCCAGGCCACCUUCGGUACCCCUC